This 375-nucleotide ribosomal RNA is filed under the name uncultured bacterium. RNAcentral describes it as "bacterial SSU rRNA". It matches the Rfam family "Bacterial small subunit ribosomal RNA", at positions 29 to 416 of the family's 1533-position model. The record is from RNAcentral.
AAUCAACGCUGGCGGCGCGCUUAACACAUGCAAGUCGAGCGAGAAAGGGGAGCAAUCCCUGAGUACAGCGGCGUACGGGUGAGUAACACGUGGAUGAUCUACCUGAGAGUGGGGAAUAACUUUGGGAAACCGGAGCUAAUACCGCAUAAGCCUGAGAAGGGAAAGCCGCAAGGCGCUCACAGAGGAGUCCGCGGCCGAUUAGCUAGUUGGUGAGGUAACGGCUCACCAAGGCGGGGAGUCGGUAGCCGGCCUGAGAGGGCACACGGCCACACUGGCACUGAAACACGGGCCAGACUCCUACGGGAGGCAGCAGUGGGGAAUCUUGCACAAUGGGGGCAACCCUGAUGCAGCGACGCCGCGUGAGCGAUGAAGCCC